Long non-coding RNA from Papaver somniferum (opium poppy), 1130 nucleotides. RefSeq lists it as uncharacterized. The record is from RefSeq and is a predicted model, not a curated record. The transcript has 5 exons. NCBI's taxonomy places the organism in Eukaryota, Viridiplantae, Streptophyta, Magnoliopsida, Ranunculales, Papaveraceae.
CCAUUAGGAAAUUUUCUGUCGAACCUAGUACAGAAGAGACGUAAUCUUUCAGUUUCUCUAUUUUCCAUUUUCACCCUCUUCCCUCUUCUUCUCUCCAUUUUUUUUCUUCUUCUCUAUUUUACAGAUUUGUGUUACAGAGUCUAAAUUGAAGAUGGGUAAAACUAAGAGAACAAAGAAACCACGAAGUAGACCACGAACUGAAAGAAAUGAUAUUGAAGAUGACAGGAGCCUACCAGAAAUUUUAAGGUUAAUAUGGUGGGAACUUGCCAGAGUUUAGAGUUCAGAAACUGUGCUAGACAGGAGAUGGGUCUGGAAUCUUGUUUUUCAGGUGGCAAAAGGAAGUGCUGAUACUAUCAUUUUAGAUGACAAUUUUUCCACAAUUUAAAUUGUAGGCUGCCAAAUGGGGGUGUUGUGUCUGCAUCAACAGUCAGAAUUUUUGUACUGGGUCAAUGUCAUGGACACACUUGGAGCACUUCACUGGAAACUGAUUCUCCAAGUGAGGAACUAAUGAAGAGAACUCCAGUUGGAAGGACAUGCAAUUUUAUCAGUAUUGUGAUAUGAGGGAACAUCAUGGGGAAAUCUCUUUAUCAAGUUUCUGUACUGUCGUAUCUCCGGGUCGCAGGAAAAGCAGCAUUCAGUCUUCAUGGGCCUGAAUCUGAUCUGGUUCUGAUUACUCUGAUACUCAACUCUUUCGUAUUCUGUCAGUGUUUGAAUGAAAUACGUUCAUGGGAGAUGGAAAAGAUUGGCGUUCUUAAAGUGUCUUCAUUGGAUUGCUAUGAAUGCCAGUUGCUGCUGUUGUCAAGAUGAUCCAUGUUGGAAUAUAUCAAACCAUACAACGUAAGAAACAUCAGAAGUCCUGUCACCUCUCUAUAAUCUAUAGACGCCAUCAUUAUAUUAAAGCCGUUUUCACCUGCAACGAUGACAAGCUAAUGGGAUUAAUGACUCCUCUUUUGAUUCUACGUUGAACAUGGGUCUGUGAGAUCCUUCUAGUGAUGUAUUUUUUAGCUGUCUUAGAAGGCCUCCAUCUCUUAGUACUUUUUCAAACCAUUAAUCUUUUUUGGCUAUCAAAAUAUUUCUUAAUUUCAAUUGGAAAACAUUACCUUAAUAAUGCACGAAAUUAGACCAGUAAA